Molecule: ribosomal RNA, 490 nt
Filed under: uncultured bacterium
Lineage: Bacteria
Description: partial 16S ribosomal RNA
Rfam family: Bacterial small subunit ribosomal RNA
Source: RNAcentral
AUUGAACGCUGGCGGCAGGCCUAACACAUGCAAGUCGAACGGUAACAGGAAACAGCUUGCUGUUUCGCUGACGAGUGGCGGACGGGUGAGUAAUGUCUGGGAAACUGCCUGAUGGAGGGGGAUAACUACUGAAAACGGUAGCUACUACCGCAUAACGUCGCAAGCCCAAAGAGGGGGACCUUCGGGCCUCUUGCCAUCGGAUGCGCCCAGAUGGGCGUGGUUAGUAGGGGGGGUAACGUUUCACCUAGGCGGGGAUCCCUAGCUGGUGAGAGAGGAUGGCAGGCCGCAUUGGAGCGUAGACGCGGUCCAGAGUCCUGAGGGAGGCAGCAGUGGGGAAUAUUGGGCAGUGGGCGGAAGCCUGAUGCAGCCAUGGCACGUGUAAGAAGAAGGCGUUGGGGUUGUGAAGUACGUUCAGCGGGGAGAAAGGGAGUAAAGUUAAUACCUUUACUGAUUGACGUUACCCGCAGAAGAAGCACCGGCUAACUCCGUG